RNAcentral lists this unclassified non-coding RNA (339 nucleotides) under soil metagenome. Its description in RNAcentral is "partial contains 5.8S ribosomal RNA, internal transcribed spacer 2, and large subunit ribosomal RNA". The stretch from base 1 to 120 matches the Rfam family "5.8S ribosomal RNA", at positions 35 to 154 of the family's 154-position model. The record is from RNAcentral.
GAUGAAGAACGCAGCGAAAUGCGAUACGUAGUGUGAAUUGCAGAAUUCAGUGAAUCAUCGAAUAUUUGAACGCACAUUGCACCUCUCGGUAUUCCGGGAGGUAUGCCUGUUCGAGCGUCAUUUGUACCCUCAAGCUCUGCUUGGUGUUGGGUGUUUGUUCCGCCUCUGUGUGUGAACUCGCCUCAAAACAAUUGGCAGCCGGCGUACUUGUUUCGGAGCGCAGCACAUUUUGCGAUCCAGAUCAACGUACAGCGGCAUCCAAGAAGCCUUAUUUAACGCUCUUGACCUCGGAUCAGGUAGGGAUACCCGCUGAACUUAAGCAUAUCAAUAAGCGGAGGA